RNAcentral lists this ribosomal RNA (1078 nucleotides) under Massilia atriviolacea. RNAcentral's name for it is "bacterial SSU rRNA". It matches the Rfam family "Bacterial small subunit ribosomal RNA", at positions 379 to 1474 of the family's 1533-position model. Lineage: Bacteria; Pseudomonadati; Pseudomonadota; Betaproteobacteria; Burkholderiales; Oxalobacteraceae. The record is from RNAcentral.
GCAGCUGAUCCAGCAAUGCGCUGAGUGAGAAGCUCGGUGUAAGCUCUUUGUCAGGAGAAACGGUGGGCUAUAUCCUCAUCUAAUGACGUACUGAAGAUAAGCACGGCUAACUACGUGCCAGCAGCCGCGGUAAUACGUAGGGUGCAAGCGUUAAUCGGAAUUACUGGGCGUAAAGCGUGCGCAGGCGGUUUUGUAAGUCUGUCGUGAAAUCCCCGGGCUCAACCUGGGAAUGGCGAUGGAGACUGCAAGGGCUAGAAUCUGGCAGAGGGGGGUAGAAUUCCACGUGUAGCAGUGAAAUGCGUAGAGAUGUGGAGGAACACCGAUGGCGAAGGCAGCCCCCUGGGUCAAGAUUGACGCUCAUGCACGAAAGCGUGGGGAGCAAACAGGAUUAGAUACCCUGGUAGUCCACGCCCUAAACGAUGUCUACUAGUUGUCGGGUUUUAAUUAACUUGGUAACGCAGCUAACGCGUGAAGUAGACCGCCUGGGGAGUACGGUCGCAAGAUUAAAACUCAAAGGAAUUGACGGGGACCCGCACAAGCGGUGGAUGAUGUGGAUUAAUUCGAUGCAACGCGAAAAACCUUACCUACCCUUGACAUGUACGGAAGCCACGAGAGAUCGAGGUGUGCUCGAAAGAGAACCGUAACACAGGUGCUGCAUGGCUGUCGUCAGCUCGUGUCGUGAGAUGUUGGGUUAAGUCCCGCAACGAGCGCAACCCUUGUCAUUAGUUGCUACGAAAGGGCACUCUAAUGAGACUGCCGGUGACAAACCGGAGGAAGGUGGGGAUGACGUCAAGUCCUCAUGGCCCUUAUGGGUAGGGCUUCACACGUCAUACAAUGGUACAUACAGAGCGCCGCCAACCCGCGAGGGGGAGCUAAUCGCAGAAAGUGUAUCGUAGUCCGGAUUGUAGUCUGCAACUCGACUGCAUGAAGUUGGAAUCGCUAGUAAUCGCGGAUCAGCAUGUCGCGGUGAAUACGUUCCCGGGUCUUGUACACACCGCCCGUCACACCAUGGGAGCGGGUUUUACCAGAAGUAGGUAGCUUAACCGUAAGGAGGGCGCUACCACGGUAGAUUUGGUUG